UCCCACGCUGGCAUUACAUCACAGAAAACCAGAGAAAUCCACGGGAAAGCGCCCAAGAAGGAAUUGCUGAUGGCUGCUGGGGAUUAAAAUUCCUUCGUCUUCUCUGGAGAAGGAGUAGACAGUCAGUAUCCAGAAUAAUGAUGACCCUUUUGUUUUGGUUUCGCGGAAGAGAAUCCGGAGACACCUGGGUAGCGAAAACCACUCUCUUUGCCGGAGCAGAUCACGUCAAGUUGGCAAAAACGACGCGAUGAGUGGAGCCUUCUGUUCGAUGGUGACGUUCGGGUUUCUUCAGAACAAGAGAGUGGUUUCCAAGGCAUCCCACAUAAAAAGGGCAACAUUUAAUGGGUGCAGUCGACCAUUUGAAGACCAUUGUUAUUAAUACUGUUG
Long non-coding RNA from Hippocampus zosterae (dwarf seahorse), 387 nucleotides. RefSeq lists it as uncharacterized. The record is from RefSeq and is a predicted model, not a curated record. NCBI's taxonomy places the organism in Eukaryota, Metazoa, Chordata, Actinopteri, Syngnathiformes, Syngnathidae. The transcript has 2 exons.